Glycine soja is the source of this 986-nucleotide long non-coding RNA. RefSeq lists it as uncharacterized. NCBI's taxonomy places the organism in Eukaryota, Viridiplantae, Streptophyta, Magnoliopsida, Fabales, Fabaceae. The transcript has 4 exons. The record is from RefSeq and is a predicted model, not a curated record.
UCAAGUUUUGAGAUGAUGCUCCUUCCUCUCACUCGCUCACUCUCCCUCGCCGCCGCUCACUCACUCUCCCUCGCCGCCACUGAGACACGCAGAGUAACUGCCAUCCUCACUGUGCCGCCCUUGCCAUCACGAAGAGUAGCUGCCAUCCUCACUGUGCCGUUUCAGUUUCAUUUUCCUUGUUGGAUUGUUGUGGAGUUUGGUCAGAUCGAAGCUUUCUUCGUUUCUCUCUCUUGAAGAAUCUGGGUGUGGGCGUGGGCGUGGCAGAGUCCAGAAGAGUUUUGAGAGAGUUAUUAUUAUUAAUAGAAAAUGAAGGGGGUUCAGCGGCGGUGUUGGAGUUGCUUUGGACUAAUUCAGCUCUCAGCUUAAGCUUUAGUUUCUUGUUUGAUAGAACCAUUCUGCUCUCUCAAACUCUCAACAGACACAGUCACAAAACCCAAGAAAGUGUUUUGGGGAAGACGCAAACAAACGACGCUGUACAUUCGGAGGGUAUAACUAACAAGUUAGUUGUUGCACACAUAUAUAGCUGGUGACAUGUUCAAAAGAUCGUAACUCAAAGUUAUUCCAUGCUGUUCUUGGUGGUCUUGGACAAUUUGGAAUCAUCACAAGGGCUAGAAUUGCUCUCGAACCAGCUCCUCACAGAGUAUGUGUAUGUCUCCUAGGCAGUCGUGUCUCCAGCAAAACCUCCAGAAAGCCCGGAUGAAGAGGUCGAUGAUCCCUUGUACCUGAUGACAUUGACCAUCACACAACUGUUUUUGAAGCCGCUCCAGGUUAUGUGGGAUGCUACCAUAUUCGGGGUGUUUAAUCAAAACUUCUCGUUGUAUAUAAAACACGAAGAUCUCUCUGAAAUUGCACAUGGUGGUAAAUGUCUUAGCAUAUUUGUUAUACAGUUGUGGAUUCUGUAAGUCAUUUUAGAUUACUAUUAAUUACCAAAGUAAUUGUUUUAAAUUCAUACAUAAUUAACUUUGACUUAACAACACAGCCAUCUG